UUGGCAUAGCAGGUGAUUGCUACAAUCGUAGAGGAAAGUCCGGGCUGCUAUAAGAGAGGAUUCCAUCUAACGGAUGGCUGGAGAGAUCCAAGGGCUAGUGCAACAGAGAGAAGACCGCCCACUUUCUAGUGGGUAAGGGUGAAAGGGUGAGGUAAGAGCUCACCAGCUCCUUGAGCAAUCAAGGAGGCUAGGUAAACCCAAUCCGCAGCAAGAGAUGCGUGGUAAUACUCUUAUAUUUUUGCAUCUUGCUUGAGGGCUAUUGUAAAAUAGCCCCUAGAUAAAUAAUCACCAAAACAGAACCCGGCUUACAGCUAUGCCGCUUAA
Molecule: RNase P RNA, 324 nt
Filed under: Sulfurospirillum sp.
Lineage: Bacteria; Pseudomonadati; Campylobacterota; Epsilonproteobacteria; Campylobacterales; Sulfurospirillaceae
Description: RNase P RNA component class A
Rfam family: Bacterial RNase P class A
About the family: Ribonuclease P (RNase P) is a ubiquitous endoribonuclease, found in archaea, bacteria and eukarya as well as chloroplasts and mitochondria. Its best characterised activity is the generation of mature 5'-ends of tRNAs by cleaving the 5'-leader elements of precursor-tRNAs.
Source: RNAcentral